ACCUCAUGGUGAGGACACUUGCGCAAUGAAUCUUUGAAUCGUUCACAUGCUUCAUAUAGAGGCUCCCUAUCAUGAACAACAUAACAUCUUGCCCGAAUUUUGUAGUU
Molecule: small nucleolar RNA, 107 nt
Organism: Prunus persica (peach)
Lineage: Eukaryota; Viridiplantae; Streptophyta; Magnoliopsida; Rosales; Rosaceae
Rfam family: Plant small nucleolar RNA R71
About the family: R71 is a member of the C/D box family of snoRNAs containing the C (UGAUGA) and D (CUGA) box motifs.
Source: Rfam